Molecule: ribosomal RNA, 521 nt
Filed under: Ceratitis querita
Lineage: Eukaryota; Metazoa; Arthropoda; Insecta; Diptera; Tephritidae
Description: partial 16S ribosomal RNA
Rfam family: Bacterial large subunit ribosomal RNA (bases 393-521)
Source: RNAcentral
GUCUUUUUGAGUUAUUUUUAAAGUCUGACCUGCCCACUGAAAAAUUUUUAAAUGGCCGCAGUAUUCUAACUGUGCAAAGGUAGCAUAAUCAUUAGUCUUUUAAUUGAAGGCUGGUAUGAACGGUUGGACGAAGUAUAAGCUGUUUCAUAUAAAAUUUUAUUAGAAUUUUAUAUUUUAGUUAAAAAGCUAAAAUUUUAUUAAAAGACGAGAAGACCCUAUAAAUCUUUAUAUUUUAUAUUAUUCAAAUUUUUUUGAUUAAUUUUAUUUUUAUAAUAUUAAAUAUUUUGUUGGGGUGAUGUUAAAAUUUAAUGAACUUUUAAUUAUAAAUUUAAAUCAUUAAUUUAUGAAUAAUUGAUCCUUUAUUAAUGAUUAUAAGAUUAAGUUACUUUAGGGAUAACAGCGUAAUUUUUUUUGAGAGUUCAUAUCGAUAAAAAAGUUUGCGACCUCGAUGUUGGAUUAAGAUAUAUAUUUAGGUGUAGCUGCUUAAACAUUAAGUCUGUUCGACUUUUAAAUUCUUACAU